Molecule: long non-coding RNA, 1047 nt
Organism: Centruroides sculpturatus (bark scorpion)
Lineage: Eukaryota; Metazoa; Arthropoda; Arachnida; Scorpiones; Buthidae
Exons: 3
Source: RefSeq, a predicted model, not a curated record
GUAAAAAUACAUUUAAAAUAAGUGUUUCAAUGUUGUUAUUGUAUUUACUUUUUUAAAGAAAUAAUGAGUCUAAUACAAUAACAUAUGACUGAAUUUUAUGGAAACAAAAAAUAUAUCUGUCAAAUUUGGAACAAUUUCGAGCUGUAUUACAGAGUAUACGUUUUAAUUAACUCUUAAAUAAACUUCUAUCUAUAUUAUGCUAACACCUUAAUAAAUGCAUUCGGAGGUUAUUGUGAACGAAUAAACAACAAAGAUAAAGUGGGGAAAAAGAUUCAAAUGAUUCGCUGAGGAAUUUAUCAGCAAAUUUCUAAAGACGCUAUAAUUGGAACUUAUUUGGAUAAUGACGCACAAAAUCGUCAAGAGCCGAGAGAUUACAACGCAUUGAUGAUUGGAACUACUCAGUGAAAUUUUUUAUAUUUAUACACGUCAAAAUUUAAACCCUUAGAAAUGACUUAAAUCAAACUUUUUUCCAGGGAUAAAUAAAAUAAUAAUAAUAAUAAUAAUAAACUUUAUUAGCAUAAAGGAAAGUGUCCCUGUUGCAGGGGGUUGUACAAAAAGGUAUUAUUUGUACGAAAAAUCCAUUUAAAAAAUAAUAAAAAUGCCGAAUCUAUAAAUGGAAUUUAACAUAAAAAUAAAAUAAUAAAUUUUUUAAACGAAACUUGUGUAAAAUAUUUCUUCCAUAGUGAAAAUAUUGUGACAUUAUCUGAAUUGCUGUAAUAUUAUUAUUAUAUUUUAAAUUUAAAUAUCAUAUAUAAGAAAUUAAAUAUGGCACCAGAACAAAAGAUCCACAUUUUGUUUGAAAUUUGAAAUGUGAAUCUUCUGUUAUGGAUUUUAAAGUUAGUUUCUCUUUAAAAAGAAUGAGAUCAAAUAUAUUAAAGGUUAUUUUUAAAAUUAAAUGUAACAUUGUAAGAAAUUGUUUUCAAUACAUUUCAAUUAUUUACUUUAUAAAAUAUCUCAAUUUUAUACAUUUGAUUAGGAAUUAUAUUUCUAAAGAUUUCGAUUGUCAAUUAUUCCCUUCCAACAGAAGUUCAUUUAAGAAUUUAUCAA